GUGGGAGUCACGUGCGCCAGUUCUGCCUUCCCGCUGGCUCCCCCUGCCCCGCCCCCUCCAGCGGCGGCAAGCGCCGCGCGUGGUCUCGCGGGAGGGUAUUUAAAGGCCCAGGAGGCGCCGCCUCCUCCCUUUCGCCGCUGCCCGCCAGCGCGGUAAGUGCCCGGCGAGGGGAACGGCAGCAGAAAGCGUCCCGAGGAACCGCCAAGGCCUUCCCAUGUCCCCGGAGGCUUUGUGUGCCGGCCCGCCGCGCUCGGCUGCUCCCGGCGCGGGCAGAAGGCCAAGCACAGUAGGCCUCGACGGCUGGGGAUCUGGAGCCUCGCCUUUGAAGGGCUGUAGGGAUCCCACUUAGCAACUUCACAUUUGAGGUGUUCAAGGGGUGGAGGAUCACACCUAAAUCAGAAGCAAUGCUCAGGACUUCAUUGGAAUGUUCUGCUAGUAGGUUGCUCAGAUGUGUCAGUGCUUUAUGAACCUGUGUGAUACACAUCUCGAGUGAAAAGAGUUCCUUGUACACUGGUUGGUCUCCAGGGAGAAAACCAACAUGUCCAAUGGAUUUGAACUGAUAUUAAACAUCAGCUCGUGAUUUGAUGAGUGGCUGAUUUCUGAAUUCAUACUAGAUGACUCCAGUGGUCACCUGUAAUGUAUAUUCUUGGAAGUGGGAUUAAAACAACCAGUGGGUAAAACUAUACAUCUUCAAUGCUUAUGCUUAUGUUUAAAUAGGAAUCUCACAACUUGUUGAAAGAAGUUUCUCAAGAAAAAACUAUAAUUUAUUUUUAUGUCUGUGUGGAUUAAUUGAAAUAAAAGAGAAUGCUACCAGAAAUUUGUGUGUUCUGAAGCUUUCUUGUGUAGGUGCUUCCUGGAUGAAGGCUUUUUUUCAUGGAUGUGGACACUCCUGUGCUGUCAUGCACAUUCUCUUGCCAAGUGCAAAAUUAAUAAGUUUAAUCUUCAACUUAAAAAGCUGUUGAAAGCAGGUCUCUUAAAUCUUCUGAAUAUCUGAUCAUGGUUUUCUGAAGUAUUUUAGAAUGCCAAAGCACUUUGAGGUCAACUGGCCAACUUCUCAUUUAUUUCAUUAGGUUGUAUGUGUUAUUCACAUCUCCUCCAACUAGUCAAAAGGUUGUCUCAGACUUUAAAGAACAAGUACCUGCCUGUUUCAAAUAAACAAAUUUGCAAUAUUCCAUGUAAAGAACAACCAGUGGAAAGAUCCUUGAAGAGCAAGAUCAAUAAUGUUGAGCAAUUGAAAACGCAUAUGUGCUUUUCAGUUGCUUAUUUCCAAGUAAACAUUAAACAUUUUUUCCCCAGUGGGAGGUCUGAACAUAAAGUGAUUUAUGUUCACCCUAUUCCUGGCCAGUGCUUCCUUAAGACUGCACAAGCAAGAAUAUAAAACAGUUUGAAGUAGCUGUGGGCAGUGCCUGGCACAGGAGAAUGAGUUAGUGUGGAUUUAAGACCUAACUGUUAUGUACUUGGUCAGAUCGAACUCUGAGAUAGCCAGGAAGAGUUUCUGCUUGUUAUCUUUACUUGAACAUGUACGAAAUGGGGUGAGUAUUUAGUGAUGAUCUAUUGUACUUGUAGUCUGCUAGGCUUCCCUAAAUGCUUCUUUUCCUCUGGAUUUGUUUUUCUAAAAGGUGAAACUAAAUUUGAAGGAUAUCCGAAAGUACUUUCUCUUCUAUACUAAAUCUGUCUCACAACUGUCUAGUUCCUGUUAAGAGAAACAAUGAAUCAUUUUCCUUCAAGCCUUGUCAGUCAUUUUAUAGUCCUCUGGGCCUCUGCAGUCAUGCAUGAGGAUUAAGUUUUAGUCUAUUCAGUCUUGAGUGUGGUUUCAGAUCUGAUCUAUGCUGCCUUGUGCAGGUUUUGUAUUAUAAAUCUUGCUUCUCUUGGGUUCAGCACUAACUGAUGGUAUUCAGUAUAGAGAGACUUAUAAAUGCUGGCUUGUAUUUCCCUUAACUAUUAAGGUUGUUUACAUUUGAUAGCUUGGGAUGAUGUUUUCAGUGAACUGUCUAAUCUUCCAGAACUUUGUGAGAAGAGCAGAAACUAUUUAAGAUUUAAGAUUGUUUUCCUUCCCAGAUUCGUUAGUCAUGCAAUCAAUGGCACAAAAUUCCAUCCGCUGCUCUGUCCACAAAGAUCUUGUCAGAAUAAAGAUCUUUUGGAAUCUGCAGUCAUGGUUAGCUUUGAACUUUUGGAUUUGUCUUUUUUUUUUUUUUUCCACAUCAACUGAUGCUGAAAACGUAGUUUUGAACCUUUUUCACUUAUGAAAACUAUUCCUUUCUAAAUUAAAGGGCCUAAGAGUACACUAAAGCUCCCUUCUAUUUUAUGGUAGCUAUCGUGCUCUUGAAGGACUCAUCUGAAGACUUCAAAAAAUAUAUUCUUUUGAGUUGUGCUCUGUUCUUAGAUGCUGACUCCUUCAGAGACUCGGUGGGUGUUUGUUUUGUGUUUUGGUGCGUUUGGUUGGGUUUUUUUUGUUUGUUUGUUUGUUUGGCAUUACUACUCUUCAACUUACCGCUGUGCAAUUGAUAAAAAGAACCAUUAAAUCCUAAUGACUUGAUCCUUAUUCACAAAUUUGUUAUAAAAUGUUUCAGGCAAGUCUUUGUUCAUUCAUCCCCAGUUUUUAAAAACUUCGGGAAAGUAAGAUCUGUUACAGACAAAUAAUUCAUUUGGCUUUUUUAACGUAGCCUUGAAAUUCUCAAAGGCUCCUUUCAUACUUGCUCAUUUCUUGGGCUUGCAAAUUCUUUUGCAGAUUGUCUCCCUCUGAUCAAUUUGAAGAGAUUGGAUUAUUCAUUUAUCAUUGGUCCUUAAGUAUUUCUGCUGCUUCAGUGUCAUACAGACUAUUUUUACUUUGGUUCAGUAUGACUUGCAGUUACUGAAAGAUGCAGCUUCACUGUGGAGUACAUUCACAGUUUAAAAGUGCUGUCAUUUUUGUGUGUUUUGAUUUGCCCCUGAGACUGAUUAAAACUUGUCUUUUAAGCAACAUUUUAUCUGCUUAGCUAUACUGCACCCUUUUAACCGGGACUUUAGAGUAGUUUAGUUGCUCAUUGAUUCUACUGUGUACUGACAGUAUAUUAUCCAAGAUUCCCAAUAAAAUUGCAGUGUUAGGGAAGUCCUAAUUUGCUGUGGCUACUAACAAAAUUAUGAGACUGUGUGAAUAUUUAAUGUUUCACCUACCUUGUUAUUUAGGUAACAAGGCAAUCUUAAGGCACUGUUCUUUAAGAGCGGAAAGAGUGUUUCAGUACAACAGGUUUAAAACAAAAUCAAAGCAGAGUUAAUAUUUUAAACUAAAUAAGUAUAAUUUUUUUCAUGUGUUUAUAAGGCCUGUGACUUUACCUUUGACUAUAUGUGCUGUCACUCAGUUGGGGCCAUUAUUCUAUACUGAAGGUUUAUUUUGAAGAAACACUGGUUGGAAAUACAGGUCACUUGACAGUACUCUGUUCUAUGACUUCUCAUGAGUAGUUAUAAUAUGAAAUCUCUUACCAAUUAACUUUGCCUUGUUUCUAUUCCACCUUCAGGCUUUUUGGAAUGUAAAUGUGUCAGUUCAGGUACUGUUCACCUAAUUAAUUUUAUGAUCUAACAUGUUAAAACAGUGAAGCAAAACAAAAGGGAUUAGUAGUAGUCUAGGAAUAUGAAGUAAGUCUAAAUUUGAUAACUUUAUUGUUGUAAAUUAGAUCAUUUACCCUGACCAAUCCCCUGUGGGACUGUAUAGUAGGGGCUGUGCAGUUCACUGAGAGAGCUGACUUGUAUGAACAGUAUCCUCUAAAUGAAGUUAUAACAUCGCAAUUUUCCCUUUUAUUACUCAUUGGAAAAGCGAAGACUAAUGGAAGAAAAAUUACCAGGCUUUCUGGAGAACAGUCAAGGACUAAGUAGUUGGCUUACACCAUCACAGAUUUGUAUUAACUAGCCUUGUUACAGGCUUAGUGACAUUAAGCCUAAUUCUGUCAUUUUAUGAAUUUUUGUAUGUAUGAUUUGUACAACAGGCAUUAUAUGAGAGUUUUUUGGGAAAUAAAAUGGAGGAAAGCUAUAAUAUAACUUUUAAUCUGUACAUUGCUGUUUGUUCUAGCUCUUGAUUGCAAAUUUAAGAAUGCUGCUUUGGCUUUUCAUUGACUAAAUCUGCAAGAAUGUUAAAUUUGUUCAGCAAGACUGAAGGCUGUCAGACAAAAGGGGGAAUAUUUUCAUGUCUCUGGAUUUCAUGUUCUAGCAGACAGUUGAAAAGCAUUGUAUUUCCUACUUCACUUCCUUUUAGUAAAUUGUUACCACUGUUGAGACUCAAUGAGCAAAGGAAAUUCAGAUUUAAAAAAGCUGAAGAAUGAAAUGUACUUCAGGAGUAACAUGUGCUAAGCCCUGGACUGUGUUCUCUGUGCAGGGCUACGUGCAACAACUUUGUUUUGUGUUCGGUGCAAGAUUCUAGUAAGAGACAAAAGUGCUUGUUCUUCCCUUUUAUUAUUUCAUUUUAUUAUUUUAUUAUUUUAUUUUAUUUUAUUAUUAUUUUCAGAUUUAUUUUAUUUUAUUAUUAUUUUCAGAUUUAUUUUAACAGUUGUUGGCCUACCACCUUGGAAGUCUGGUACUCCCAAGAGAUUUAGUUCUGAGGAGCUUGGCAACACCAGAAUUUUUAUGAUGGCUUCUACUUAGUAACACAGAUUUGUGAUCUCCAGGAAUUACUGCAGAUCUAUGUCAGAGCCUGGUGAUUCUUUUAUUACGGAGACAAGAAGCCCAUGCACUGUUCCAUACUCAUCUAAUCUCUCAGCAUACUGGGAAAAUGCAUACAGGUACGUUUUGUGCUCAGAAUAAUUUUUAAAGAGGUUUUGAAAUAACUAGGCUAUGAUCUUUCACCACUGGUACUGGAGACUGUGCUGUCCUAGCUUCUUACUUAUUCUUUUCUUUGUGUACAACAACAUUUAGCAAGGAAAUUGAAAGAACACCACUGAGUUUUCCUUCUUGUUCCAGCAUGAGUGUGAGGAACCUAAUGCCGCUAUACGGUAACACUUAGGAUGCUGAUAUUGAAACACUGAGAGACAAAAGUAACUGAAUGCAAGGUGUCAAAAAUCAUACCUGCAAGGCCUUUUGUCACUAGAAAACAGGUCAAUUCAUGCUAUUUUUGAGGAUGCUUGUGACCUUCCUGGAAUGAUCUUAUUGUCUUGGCAAUAUUCAAAUUAAAAUUCUGUUUUAAAAAUAACACCUGGGUACAUUUGCUGCUAGAAUGCCUAGAUGGAGGACAAAAAUCUCACUGAACACUUAAUUGAAUGAAUCAUGCCUCAUCCGCAUUUGUGUUCCUAGGGAUCGAUUUUUCUGGCUCAGCAGCUCUGCCGGCUGCAUACAAACUCAGGGUACCAGAAGCAGUUUUCAAUAAGCACGUCCAUUCAGUUAAGCUGCCUAAACUUCUUGUACCUUUUCCACAUUCCUAAUAUAGAUUGGCAGUGCUUGUGAAUGGUAUCAGGUUGUCAGCACUAGAGAAAAGAACCGUUCCUUUUGUUCCCAGAACUAGUACAGUGUGAGCUUUCUCAUCUGGCAGCACGGUAUGAAGAGGAGGGAAAAGUUCCCUUUAUUUAAAGCAAGAGCCAUAAAGGAUGACUGAUUUUACAACUCAGCACAAGACUCAACAGAGGAGUUGCUGCUGAAUCCUAUGGAUACCAGUUUAGACUGGAAAUCUCUCUUUUUUUUUUUUUUUUUGUCAGAAGGACAGUGCACUGUAACAAAAACCCUUCAGCCACAGAGUACCAUAGAUCAAUACACAGUGUCCAUGUUGCUUGGUUAUAUGUAGAUAAUCCUUGACCCUGUACUCCAUAGAGGAGGUAGUAACACCAUGUGUAUCUUCAUGCAGUCAUGUGCCUCUUUAUAAACUGGGCAACCUAAUGUAUAUAUUUAUUAAAAAUAUGGAAAGUAAUGUAUCCCACAGUACAACUGGAGUACCUUAUUGAACCAUUAAAGAGUAAUUAAUUUAAACUCAUAUCUUCACAUAAAUAAUGUAAUCAAGAUCAGAGUGGCUGAACAGGUAUGUUCUGAAGUUGUUGCUAUUGCAGCAAUCAAAUUCCACAAACCUGUUAUCAAGGUUUCUUUGUCUUGCCUAGAAACAUUUCAGCCCUGCAUAUUAUCACAUUGCAAAACCUUGAUACUUUGCCAUUCAACAAAAUGUCUUAUUCUCUCAGUGAAAAAAAUGAAUAAACAAACAAACCCCUCCAACUGAAACAACAAACAAACCUAUUUCUGCUUCCGAUAUGCCAGCUAGAAAAAGCUCUGUCCUAAAAGUGCCCCAAACAGCUGGGUGAUCAUAGCACCCAGGAAGACCCACACCUGUGAAGUGGGUGUUUGUUUGCAGAUGUGGUGAUUUCAGCACACUGGACAUGCUCUUCCAUUGGAGAUCUUGAAAGCUUCUGGUUAUAGUUCUGAAUACAGUUUGGCUUGUACAAAAAUCACAUUGAACACCAGUUUGACGAGGGAGUGGUUUUUGCAACUGCUGCUGAGAUAAUUAAUCUAAUUCUGGUCUAAAGCAUUGCUUGUCCCAGUAAGGAAAUGGGUUUCCUGCAACUCCUCACAUGAAACAAUUUCUUUGUCUAGCUUCUCCUUGGCUGCCAAGCAAUCCCCUGUGCCCCCCAUCUUCUUUCCUAUAGCUGUCUCUGGGGUGUCUCCCCCAGUACUAGCCUUUUAACAUGAUGCUUCACCUUCAGCACCAUCUUCUCCAGCAAGACUCCAGCAGAGAAGGGAAGGUGAGUAGUAGAUUUGGUUAAAUUAUCUUCCCUCCAAAACCCUUAUGCUUCAUGCCUCUGCCAGGUCUUCUUCCUGCUACCCACCUUCACCUCUCCUCUUCACCCGGUCAGACGGGGAAUCCACAAUCCUGCUGCUCAAGGUACACAACACUUUGGAAAUAACCAGUGUACUACAGACCUGUACAUAUUUUUAAAAAUGUGGACCUAUGCAGUUUUUACAAGCCAGUUAUAAAUAGUUUCAUUGUUUCCUGAUUCGGUUGUGUAUUUUUCACACAGGCUCACUCAGCAAAGGAAUGUUUCUAUUUAAAUCUCUUGCCAAGGUGAAGUGAAAACCUGGCUUGCAACAUCACUUCUAUUCACAUUAGAAAAUGCUUUUUGCUGUUAUUUGUGGGCUUUGGAUCAGAAAUGCUUUGUGUUAUAUGUGUUCUCCACUGACUGCUGUGUAAUUAGGCCCUGAUAUUUUGGUGGAAGAACGCUCCCCAGGCUGCUGCCGGAGCAGCGUGCUCCCUGGUGCACCUGCACAAAGCUGCUUGAUAAGACAGCUCUAAUCUGCACCUGCAGGAAUGUGGUGUAGAUCAGCAGCAAGUCACCAGUACACCAGCUCCACUGUAUCCCCAGUUAAUCAGUAACCGAUAUAUAAAUGGGGGGGUGGGGGAAGCCAACUUGUUUGUUUGUUUAUUUGUUUGUUUUGUUUUUGUAACAAGUAGUGCAUAGAGUUAGAGAGCCUUAGAUCUGUGUUUUUUAAAAAAUUUCAGUGGUUUUCAAAAACUAGGAUUUUGUUCAGAUACUGCAAUGGUAGAAAAAGUUUGCGAAUCAAAAUCCAGGCAAUCUUACAAUUACUAGAUUUUUUUUUCCUCUGUAACCUGCAAUUCUUCUCGUAGGUAAGACCAAAUUAAUAGCUCCCCCUUUUUAAAAUCUAGAAAGCAAUUAUAACCAUUCUUUCAAAAGUCAUGUAUUUUUUCUAGCACUUUCUUUUGCAUAUGUGUUGUAAUUUCUUGUCAUAUAUUAACACUUAAGUUAUCAACUAAGAUCCAAGUAACAUUUUGCUGAACUCUGCAUAUGCUUGUUUGUGGUCAGGCAGUCUUUAUUUUGGUAAGCUAUUCAAAUUAAAAAUACCAAUAGGAGGAGAGAAGUACUUUUCUUACCCACAUACAGGUCAUUGCAGAAUCAUGUGGAUCGCUAGUUUGGGCAACAGGAUUCAGUGGCACUGAGUGACUGUCUGUCCUAACUGUUGCUCUGCACUCUGUUACCGUGGAUCUCCACCAAACGUCACAGGUGACAGACCAGCACCUAGAUGUGUAACUGGUAUCCAUGGCUCCCUUCAUUUAGACAACUGACUGAUCAAGACAGAUUUUCCUGGGAAGACUAGAUUAAUUUCUUGAGGUUAUUUUUCUCAGAUAUCCAAUAUACCUCUAGCUGAACAGUUAGCAAGAAAUCGCAACAGAGUAAGAGCCAGAAUGGGCCCAGCUGGCUCUGUUAGCAGGUUGUGUGCCAUGUCAUGCUCCUUUCUUUUCAGCCCUGCAGCACUAAAGAAUAUACAGAACAGAUUGAAACGUUUUCUUGUCACAACAAAAACCUAUACAUAGGAGUCUUUCCAAAAUCACAGCCUAUAAAUGGCUUUUCCCCCCUUCCAAUAUCUUAAAAACAGAUAAGCUUUAACUGAAUAGUUUUCAUAUUACCUGCUCCUGCUCUCCAAAGAGACAAACAGCAGAGCACUGGGGCACUGUCACUGUGAACAGGCCAUAUCUCUCAGUGACUUGAAGAGCUUUACUUACUAAAGAUGUUUUCCUGACUCAAGUCCAGACCUGUGAUAAUGCAGUCCCUUUUACAGCCACUCUUACUCUGAUAUCUGAGUGGUUUUGGAGUCUUGAAUGUGUUUAUCUCCACUGUGAUAGAGCAAGGCUGCACACAAUUUGCACAGUUAAACAGAAAAGCUGUGGCAGCGGGGAUCAGACUGAAAUCUCGGAAAUUACAGACUACCAAAACAUUCCUCACCUUGUUAAUGUUUUACUAAUGGGAUGAAUGCAUUUUUGCCUUUUUGUAUGUUUGGUUUUGUUUUGCUUACAUUCCCAGGUGUCUUGGUCUAUCACACUUUUUCUGACAAUGUGUAGACUUAAAAUCACAUCCCGAGUUAAAUCUCUGUCCAUUUUAGUAUGAUUUGAUGCAUUUUGCAAUUAUUUAAUUGUUGCCCUUUCACAUGAGGUGAAGGAAGACAACAGAACAUGUUGUUUUCAAAAUGUUUUUCCCCAGAUUUCACAAGAGCCAGCCUCUGACCCAGGCUGCGUCUCCACCUUGGCAGGAUGCACUCUUGUGUGGGGGAACCUAUAAAGGAGCCCCACUGUGACAUGAUCUUGAGAUCACCACCACUGUCAUCUCAGAACAUCCAGCUCUGGGUAAAUUAUAGCUUCACAAACCUUCCGCCUGGCUUAUACAUCACUGCUGCAACAAUGAGUUCACAGUGAUAUUGGCAGCAGAGGAGAUGGCCAUAAAUGUGACAGUGUAUUUGCGCUGCAUGCCCUUAAUUGUGGCACCAGUUCCCACCAGGGAUGCCGUCAAGAGUUCUGGGGUUAUUUUAAAAAGGUUAAUGAGGGAAGGGAGACUCCAGCAUUGCAACUGCACUUCAGAGUAACCCCUAUCAGAUUACUCAUAGUUCUCCUCUUACUGGGCAUGUGGGGGUGUAGUUGAAGUGUUUCUCCAAGGCGAGCUAUGUCCUGCUGCAUUAUUCAUGGAUAUAGACCAGCUUACUUUAGCUUGAAAGGCAUGUAGGAGGAAAACUCAGUUCAAUUUGUUCACAGCAUGACAGUACCAUCAUUUCUAAGACAGCCAGUGUGGCUGCUGAUUUAGUGGGGGAACUGUGCUGUGCACAGGGCUGCGCUCCUGCCAAGUCACUCGCACAAGUGUCAGCAGGGCAAUGCUUCUGUGCUCUUCAUUUCUGAGAGAGGUGAAAUUAAAAACCAAACCAAACCAAACAAGCCUUUAAGUGUGAGCCUGUCUUUAAGGACAUAGUGGAACAGGGAAGAGUUAGGUACCAACCACUUUAACUUCUGACAUGUGAGCAGUUUGAGUCUGCUGUCUUUUAGAAGUAUUUAUAGUGCACGUCCCUGUAAAAUUCAGCUUCCUUCAGUCUUGUUGUCUUUUUGGGAAACUCAAAGGUGUGAAAUUGAAGGGUAGAUCCAUCUCAGAGCUCUGGCUGAUUCAUGUCCAGCCCUGAGAUGGGAUCCAUUUACAGACCACUACUGCAGCUUGCUUUAUUUGAGUCCUCUCUGGAAGGUGGUCCCAGGCGAAGGAGCAUAAAAGACCAGCUAGAGACAAAGACAGUCUAAAAUGCAAAAGCUCUGGAAAGACAUUUCUACCGAUUUCCUCUCCUGAGCCUGCGGGAGCUUGGCUGGAAGAGCCCAUUGAGGAAGGGAGGAUACAUGCAGCAAGUAUGGUCUCUGUCAGGAUGACUAUUAACAAUCUUUGCUUUGUUAGGCAUUAAAAAAAAGUCUGUCUUUUAAUCUACUUGCUAUGCUUUACUUGCCUUGUUUACUUCCUUGCACUUCAUUUUCUCAGUCUGGGCAGAGGAAUAAAUUUCUCCUUUUUCAUUCAUAUUAUUAGUGAUAGCAUCUCCAGACAUCCGUCUUUAAAAUGUGAUUUAGUCAUUUAAAAAUAAGUGUUUUUAAAAUGAAAUUGAAAUUAUUCAUACCUAUUUUUGUCUUGAUUAGGGUUCAAAUAUUAGAUAAAGUUGGACUAAAUAAUACCCUUUAGACAAUGAAGCCCCUGCAAAUAUCCCUUUAUAUUAUAUACUGUUACCCAAAGACUCGGUGAUGUGGCAAUCAGUAGAUACAUAUUCUAUAUCCACUUUCCCUAUAGUUAAAUAAACUUUUAAAGCAAAUGUUCCAUUAGCUCCUGACCAUCAAUCUGAAUGUAAUAAUGGGGCUGUUUAGAGCCAGAUAGGCUUCCCCACCCCCCUCAUUCUAUUAAAAUAUUUACAUUGUAAUAACUCAGUAGGGGUUUUUUUUGUUUUUCUUUUUUUGUCUUUUUUUACUAAAUGGAAGGUCUGUAAGUGGGUGAAAGUAUUUAAAAGGAGGGCGAAACUGAAGAGACAUGACAUGUUAUUGAAUUAAGGGCCUUAGAAGGUGAGGGCUGUGCAGUCAUAAAUUCCAGGAAUGCGGAUGUGACUCUCUGAAUGUGUAUAUGAAGUUGACAGAGUUUGACAGCUACCAUCUGUGAACAAUAAUGUAUAGAGAAGCAGGGCUACAUGAUGCAGGCUGGAAUGUACCUAUCAGGCUCUGAGGACUAUAACAAUUUACUACUCAUUAUCAGGGACUGUGGUCAUGAUUAGCUGCAGGGGCUGGAAUGAAACUUGGAAAUUAUAAGAACAAAGCCCCCCUUGUUAAAGCAAAGUAAUUAGUUUAAUACAUACGAGGAGAAAAUGGGCAGGAGACUUCCUUUUUUUUUUCUUUUUUUUUUUUCUCUUUUCCCCCUUUUAUGAAGUGUUUACCAUCCAGGCCCUGCUCAGGAACACUAAAAACUGCACAGUGAAAAUGGAUGGACUGUUACUUCUUUCUGCAUCACUUGAAAUAUGAGAAAAUGGCUAUUUUGUAUUCAUGCCCUUACUAUUCUGGGGCUUUCCUGGACUCCACAGUCUUUGCAGCAGAGAAUGACAGAGACAUAAUUAUGUGAUAACUGUGCUUAUGCUGCCUUGGUUAAUCAAAGCUUAUUUCUUGUAGUCUGUACUCUUCUAUGUUGUGUCAGAGUGUAGAAUUUUGGCAAAAAUAUAGAUUUGAGCCACAGCAUCUUGUAAGCAAAAUUUCUAUUUCAAAAAGGGUGCCUUUGCUCUUUCCUCAGUCCUGCAUAUUCUAAACAAAUCUGUGUUUUCCCACAGGUUAAUAUUUUCUUCUUGGUAAACACCAUCAUGUACAGUGCAGCUGGAGCCACAGAGAAAUACUGUGAAUUCUCAUUGAAGGUUGCUCAAAUACACUAUCUGAUGGGAGAGAGAACAAGCUUAUUGCUGAGCAUAAAUUGGCAUGGGUCAGUCAUACUUAAAAUUGUGUUUGUACAAGCUGAGAAUCUGUCUGAGAACAUCAGGGAAAUUAUCAGAUAAGAAACAGAAAGCAUACUGUCUACAUAAUGCAUAUCUCAAUGCCCACAAUAAUAUGUAUUCUCAUUCUUUUCCUCCACGCAUUUGCUUUUCUUACAAAAAUGACAUCAAUCCCAGUCUCCACACAUUAGUCAAUAGUGAACUGCGACAGCAGUUUUAGUUCCAACAACAAGGUGCCCAGAUUCCUAGGAAGGGCAUUCGACUUUGAAAAACAUCCAGCAAAACCAACACACAGAAAGAGAGAAGCAGCAGGAAGUCUAUUAAGCAAGAAAGAUACCUUCCAUCCUCUUUUAAUUGAAAGAGAAAGGUUAAGGUUGGUUUAAAAAGAAUGUGUGAGCAGACAAGAAAAGUAUAGUAAGCAGUUCCUGUGAUAGAUGGUGUAAAUUUAGUCAUUCCUGCCUGUGGUGGGGGUGGUGGGAUUGGACUAUGUGACCAAGUUGAGUCCUUUUUACUGCCGUUGUCAAAGCAAAAGAUGAGGACAUUUCUCAAGUGGAAAGACAGAACGAUUUUUCAUUAUCUGCUUUAGAAAAACAUACACCAGCAAGGUUAUUAAUGGAAUGCCAUUAAUAUACAUGUGUUGCACCCAUGUAAAGUGACUUACACGGACACGACGUAAAGGUGUGCCUGUCACAGCUAUGGAUGUGCUCCUUAUCUGUUGAAUAAACUAACUUACCCUGAGUUUGGGGUUGGCACAUUUCUAGUAUCCGGGUUAGCUUUGUAUGUUUUUUCUGCAUUGAGAUGACUGCAGGCUAAACACGCCAUUGCGAUGGCAGACAGCUGGAACAGGUGGGACAAAGUAAGGUGCUCUUCUCUUGUGUUCCUCAUCUUGAUUGGCAAUUUGACUUACACCAGUCAAUGCACACAUAGCCUUCCUAUAUCAGGAUCUUUUCCUGAGUACCGUGUUUUCAACUAAGUAAAGUAGAAAGAGAUCAGUUUCUUUAACAUUUUCCUCCACAUUUUUUUACUUUUCUUUGGACAAGCUGUAUCUCAGAAAUGGAAGAAAGGUGUCUAGGUUAGAUUUUUUAUGGAAACAGUUUAUUUUUCAGUGGCAAAAAAACAUUUUUUCCAUCUAGCUCUAAUUAGCAAUAUAUAAAAGUGCAUUUCCUGAAGGAAAUUGAUAUGCAGAUGACUCAGGUAUUGGUGUGGAAAGAGGCAAGCAGUGUAAUAAUUCAGUGUUGUAGUGAGUUGAUAGUUGAUAGUGAUAAAUGUGAGCUGGAUCUUGUAUAUUUGCCAGGUGAGUGGUAGCCACUGGACACAGCAAACUGCUGCUUCUGGUACUACCGGCGUGCCAUUUUGUGCCUUGUUUUCUUGUCCAGAGCCUGUUCAGGGGCCUGUUAACACAAAUUAGUGGCAUUCACCUCAUUCCUCCCCUUGCACUAGGCUCCCCUAUUGCUUUGCCCUAUUUGUACAGCACCUGCCACAGUGCAAAUAACAGUCUUAAUGAUGAUUGUUUAAAAGUAAGUAAUUUAAACAAUAAGCAGGAGACAUUAACCAGACCUUCUCAUCACCACCUACUAGGAUGGAUUUGAGACAGUCUAAAGACAGUUUCAUUGAGCAUUUCUCCUCUUGUUGUAUCGGAUCGUUCCCCAAAUAAUUUGGUAUUCAGACAUCACCCAUAGAGACAUAAGCUGCCAAAUAUCCAAUAAUAAGUACUAGUCAGGAACUUAGAUGUGUCUUUGUGUUCUGAAAACUUUCCUCCCUGCCGAUCUUUCUUAACAGGUCCUGUUCUCUUGGUAUCACAGUUAAAAUGGACAUGAUAUGCAAAAGGAACCUCCUGCUGAUUGCCUGUGAUACUGUUUGAUGUUGCAUGCAAUCAGUUUUGUUCCCAGUCUGUUCAGAUCUGUUGGGUGAGGGUGAGCUCCAUUAAUUAGGCACUGUUAUAAUUUGCAUCUACUGCCUGUAAGAAAGACAACAUGCCUACAAACACAAGAUGGACUGACACAGACUAGAGCACAAACCAUCAGCUCAAAUACAAACUGCCCUGGGGCUCUACACAGAUGUCAUAGACACAUGCUGGUGUGGAAAGCUCUUGCUAUUUGCUAUGUUUUUUAUGCUAUCAUUAUCUGUAAUAGCAAGAUAAAAGCUUGUUGAGGUUUACCAUGCUUUUUGUGUCCUUUCUUUUGUUGUGUAGACAUUUCCAAAGGUAUUAACACUUUUAAGACAACCAUUUUCUAAGCCUGCCUGUCUAAUGCAGAUAACCUACUGCAUUCCUUCAAAGCAGUAAAGAAAACGGUAGCAGUUUUGAAAUCGUCUGUAAUUUUCCCCCUAGAAUUUUGUAACUAUGCUAUUUUACCUCUCUCUUUUGUAUGUGGGCAGUUACUAUGGCUUUAGGAUCAUAUGUGUCUAAAAAGCCUUUCUUUAUAUGCUUUAAAUCUUCAGUAUUACAUUGAAGUUAGUAGAGCAGCUACCAAACAUUUUAAUACCAAGUUACAAGUAUUUAUUGUCUUUAACAGCAUCUGUUGCUCUUCCCAUCCCAACAAGCCAUUACAGUAGUGGGACUGGGCAGUCUCACCUCGUUCUCUACUUUUACUUGCUCAUUUUAAAAUCUGCUGUCAGCUGAGAAUUUGUCUUACUAGUUUGCCCAGCUCCUAGUUCCCCUUUACAUCCAAGAAAAGUGAUUAACCAUCUUAUAAACACAGUAAGAAUUACUACAAAUAAUGAGCUUAACCUAAAAAGACGGUAAUCUCAAAGGGGUUUGUGGCUGCUUCGUGGCCCACAAGUUCAACCUCAACAGGUUCCAGAGUUAGCACAUUAAUUUGUGUAAUGUGGUUUUGAGACAUUGUUGGGUUGUUUGGCUUGUUAACCUGCUUUAUUGCUUUUGAUUAAGUAGUAAGUUUCUGGAGAUAUUUUCAAAAUGUACAACAUCGGUCCAACUCAGCUGGGUGAUAAAAUUUUCAUUUAUUUUCACUAUUCCAUGAUUUUCUUUGACUCUGUAUUUUCAUGACACUAAGCUGUAGAUUUUAGAGGACAAAAGUUUGUUCUGAAAGAUCAGCUGCCUUAUUGUUGCCCACCCUUGCAAAAAGUUUGCAUUUAGUUUUACUGAAGAGUACUAUUUCUUUCCACUGAACACAGCUUGUAAAAACAUUCUUAUGACUGUUCAAUAUCUGAUACAAACCUUAAGCUUUGUGCAGGAUUCUAAUAUGCUGAGUAUGUAUUGACGUUUGGAAAUAAGUACAAACACCUUUUAUUCUGUGUAACUUUCAUAUUGUUUAGCUGAAUUAUUUUUAAGAUGGCCUUUCUCAGGUUUCAGGUACAAGGCAGUUGUACCUGAAACCUGAGUUGUACAGUACAAGUGUUGUGGUUCCUGUGGGCUUAACGUCUAGAUGCGUCCCUGGCUACCCAGAAAAUUAGUUCAAGAGUAAAACCUGAUGCUGUCCUUUAAAUGAGAAAUCUGAUAAUGAAGAAUGAUGGACUAAGAAGAUGGGCUAGAUGAGCAUUAGACAUCUCUAGCAGGCAGGCCAGCAUUAGCAGCAAGCCUGGGGUGCAGGACACAUGCAGGUACAUUGCCCUGUCCCCAUAUCAUGGCUACUGGCUCCCUGCUUAUCAAUUAAGAAAUAAUUGACCUUGACCUGCAUUCCCCCUCCAAGCAUUUCAGAGACCUGGAUCACUGUCAGUCCCUAUCCCCUGCUGUUUCCAAAAGCAGAGCCAGCAGGGGGAAGAAAAUGAACACCACAAAAUGCAUGAACUUGACCAUGACCUUAAAAAAUCCACCAACCCUCCACAAACUGGUUAUUGUCAGGCUGCCCCGCUGCUGAGCUGGCAAUUUUUGAGCCCCAGUUGAGAACACUGCAGCGCUUACCUGUGACUGCAAUAGUCAGAGAACAGGGCAGGUCUAUGAAACUGUCUGGUUUUCAGGCUGCCUUGUUUCACUUAGCACAAGAGGGCUCCAGGGGAGGUCCGAACAGUUGCACAGUGCAUAUGACUCGUAAUAAUAAUAAUGAAGGUUGACCUGGGCUUGUUUCCAAUCUGUGCUCUAAUGAGAGAUAGCAGGUUACAUUCACCAACAGGAUAACAGCCCCUAACUUUCCAGCUGGAAUUGUUAAUGAAUCAUUGGUUUGCCUCUGCUUAGAUGGGAUAUGACAUUCCAGCAACAGUCGUUGGCUUGGUUUACUCAAAAAAUGGUUUAUUUUUCAAGAGGGAGGUCUGUUCUUGUUAAUUAUUCUCACAGCUGGGAUGGAAGUAUACAGCACUUAAGCUCCUCUUAAAAUUUAGCGUUGGCAAAUGCCAAUAAUGGUGAAGCAGCUUUGGAUUUAACACUUCUGUAUUUCAUAAAAUAACAGGUACAGUUGUUUCUUUUCCUCCCUGCCCCGAAUAUUUAGUGCUGUAAAGGACUGGAAAAAAAUAUGUAAGCUCUUCUGAAAGGAGACUGGAUCCAAAGCCUCCUUCCUUCAACUGAAUGCCCACAUUAGUAGACGACAUAGAGAGGUGCUCUCUUGCUUGCCCUCUCUCACUCUCUGACACUUGUUUCUUUUCUGUCCUGUCUCUCUGCUUUGAGAACAGAGGCAGGGAAUGCCCUAUCUCCAUAGAAGAAGCAGUUCAGUGGCUGGAGGAGACUCCUUGAAGUGGCAAGGUAUGGCUUUGAAUUGACUCAUGCAGAGGAGAGCACUGAUUGUAGGUCUGCUGCUUUCUAGAUGAGAACUUCAACCUCCAGGCAGUUAUGGGUGAUCAUAGGCAGACUCCAUCGUUCUGUCCUCUAAAGUGAAAAACAUUAGCUGAACAGCUUCACCCAAAGAAGUAACCUAUGUCUCUGAGCAUCACUAUACCUGAGUGUCUUAGUAAAGCUUGGCCUAAGGAACUUCACAGCACUUGUGUAUUUGCAACCAAGAUCAUCACGAAACCCUACAUCCUUUUGGAUGGAAAUAAAAACAUCAUCCUUCCUACUGACUCUGGCUGAUAGCAAAGUCCCUGUGAAGCUCUGUGGGCCAGAAAAAGUCCUGUGGAGCUCCUCCCGAAGCUGCUUUGGCCAUGUCCCAGAAGAGGAGCACCACUGACAACAGGGCAGGCAGAGCCUCCAGGCUUUUUACCUCAUUCUCGUUGAUGGUUGGCUCUGCCAUCUUGCCAAGCUGAUAGAACUUAAACCCUGCUAGGGAGUCAUGAGACUUCAGUACCACAAAGCUCCCAUAACUUUCAUCCUUUGCCAUUGCAAUCUGGCUUUGCUUGCAUUCCAAAAGCACCUGCACAUUUUUUUGCAAGCCACUAUUUUAUUUACAAUGCCUCGCACCUUGAUAAUUUUUUCAUCCACCCACCUCAGAGCCCUUGAUGAUGAUGGGAAACAUUAUUGCCUCAUUCCAGAGAUGGGGAAAAUGAGGAACCAGUCAAUUUAGAUUGCUUUAGAUGUAAUUCAGAACUGGAAGUAAUACAGCAUUACAGCAAACAGCUAGGUGAAUAUUUCAGUAUUUAUGGUCUAUUGGAAAGGCCUAACUACAUGUUUUAUAGCUAGGUGAAGAGCAGAGCGUGUUUUAGAAAUGCACACUCUGUGGCCACAAUUCAUAUACCCCCCAAAAAACCUAUCAGUGGACUUGGAGAAUGGGAAGGGAGAAGAGAGGGAAAGGGAAAUGGGAAACAAGCUGCUUGAAUCAUGUAUAAAGUGCUUGCUUGAUUUUCCUGCAAUUAAGAAAUCAGCAACAUGUAUUUUUUUAUUAUUAUUAAUAUUAUUUUGUGUGCAGCAUGCUUCUUCUUGGUAAAGCUGGCUGACUACUGGGGACUCCAAAAAGCAAGUAUGUAGAAAGGCAUUAGUGGGACGCCAAAGAAACUUCCAGAGUCACGGGGCUGCUCCAAGAGCUCAUAUGGUCCUUGUAUCAGUGGUCUUGUUUGGGGUUACUUGCAGACCCCACUAAUCUUACUCUGGCUCUCUCAAAAAAACAGUAUGUAUCACAAAAACAUAACAUUCUAGUACUUGAUACAGCACAUAUUGCUUCCACUUGUCUCCUUGAAAGAUAUUGUGUAUCUUUACCUGCAGCUUGUCUUCUCCAUGGGCUGAAGUAUAUCUGAGCUGGGAGGACCUUGCCUUAGCUGUGACUACAGUGUGCGACAGUUGAGUCUGCUCUGUCUUCCCAAAGGGCUGCAAGGCAGGACAAGUCAGCCGAAUUUGGCAGGCAAACAAAAGCCGUUUGGCAACUGUAAGAAAAACAACAGCUCCAUGGUCUGGAAGCUGUUGCUGGGUCUCACAGUGAAUCAGAGCGUGUCCUUUACUGCUUCACAGCAGCUCUGCUCCCGAGAGAACAGCCUUGCAGCAAGGCCAAAAACAAGCCUCGUACUGUAUGGAUUUUCAUCUUGUAAUAACAGCUUCAUUUUCUAGACAUGAAGUAUAUGUCCUCCAGUAAUAUGUGACGAAAUGUAAAUUGCAUGUGUUCUGUAUCCAGCCAUGUUGCCCGUGCUGGCAGCCUCUCCCUGGGAGUGUCAACAGCCCCGCACACCCACAAUGCUUAUGUUUUCUCAUACAUCCCCCAACCAAGGCAAGCCUGAAGUCACAAAUUUCACCUACAAGCCACCGGCAGUUCCUUGCGUGAUGACAGACCUUUAUGGCAAUUAGCCAGAGGAAAAUAUGUGAAAAGAUGUUGAGAGGAAGAAAAAGCCUUGUGAGAGUGAACAGACUGGCUUGUCCUGAGAGCCAGGGCUUCCUGACCUCAGACCCAGGACACCUCAUCCCUCGCACAGCACCACCACUGUGCGCCGGUGCCCCUGCGACCAGUGAGACCAUGAGCUGGUGUGCACCCAAACGUGGAACUGGCUCUGCUCUCCUCUUGGCAGCUCCGGAGCAGCAGCCAGUGGCUGUCUCGGGUGUCCUGUCAGCACAGGCUGGGGAUGGGGGAGGCUCUGGCUCCCUACCCAGCGAGUGUUGAGAUGCAAGGGUGGCCUGGCAUGGAAGCCUGCAGGAAUGCCGCCAACGUGGGAGCUGUGCUUUUGGCUCAAGGCAUCAAAAGACAGCUUGAGGCAUGGGGUCGAGGUGGGCAGAGAAGCGCGAGGGCUGGACUCGGUGUGUGAGUUUCUCUGGGGUAGCAAGGCGGUGGGGGGGAAGGCAUGGGAGUUUGGUUGGGCUUGGCUUGGUGUUAGGGUGGGUGACAUAAAGAUGGAGUGAGGCAACUGGGACAUGCUUUGUCCUGAAGGUGUGACCAGAGGCAGGCCUGUGGUGACUGCUGUUCAAGGUGUUGGCUGCUACUUUACAUCUUGGUACCUACUGCUGUGAGUGGUGACACUCAAGUCACCUUCGGGCACCUCGGAUCUAGGAGGACACUCACCUCCUGGAGUCCCUGAGGCAAGACCACCAAGCUCCAGAAACCCCAGUGAUUUCAGUGAGUAUCAGAUCUGGCUGUGCACUGAGGUUGAACUGAGCAAAGAGAAAGGUUUCUCACCUCUCCUGCUCUCCCUGUUCCACCUCCAGCUGCCCAUAUGCCUCUCUGCUCACAGCAACAGCUACUCUGUUUUCUGAGGCAGAUGAAUCACAUCUGCAUUUCCUUCUGCUGCUUUGACCGCAGGAGUCAGUGGUCACCAGCGUAGCGGGAGGUGGGGCUGGCAGCGGGGCUCGUCUCCCAGCACCCCUGCUGACUGACAGAGCUCUGAGGGUGCAACAGUUGAAGCAACUUCCUGCAGAACACAGCAGCAUGGCAUCAUUUAAGAAACCUACAUGUUAUGAACUGCAAAAUAUUACAGGAUGAACAUGUUCUUCCCAAACCCCUCAGUUUCCAGAGUACUACCACAAGGCUCUGUGUCCAGCCUGCCCACACUGUCUGUCUCUUUCCCCAUCCCAAGUGCCAGCUGUGAUUCACUUCCUUUGCAGAAUUUGUCCUCCAUUCUUUACUUCUUGCAUGCUUCUUUUCUCAUAUUUGAAGAAUUUUUCCCUGAAAACACAACUGGGCACUUUUUCAAACCCUAGUGGAACUACAAGCCUGAAGCACAGACCAAGACUCACAUAAUUUGCCUUUAUAUUUUAUUUAAAACAAUAAGAAAUUAUAAAUAAAAUAUCCCUGCUUAGUAAUACUUUGCCAGCUAAAGGACAGUCUGUCCUAAUGUUAGGAAAAACUGUAAGCUAAAUUGGCAUAGAUGAGCUGCUGUACAGCUUCCAGAGAAUUUUGGGAAAAGAAAAAUUUAUUUCUGUAAACACAAUCUCUUAUAAUAACUCUGAACAAAGGUUUCCACUUCUGCAAAUGAUUUACUAGUCAAAGAAAGUGGGACAUUCAUUAAUAAAUGUAAAUACUGGUUUAGAAAAUACAGUAUGAGUACAGUUAGAGAAAAUUAUGCUCUAUUGUAGUCUCAGCCAAUUGUUUUUUGGUUUUGGCUUGUUUGUUUGUUUGUUUGUUUGUUUGUUUUUCUCAGAGUAUUUUUACUGAGCGCUGACUUUUUUUUUCCCCAGGAGUUUCUAUCUCAGAGUUAAUCAUAACUUUAGGAACUGUCCCAAAUCAGUAAUAAUGUAGUUGCACUCCUUGUUGAACAGAGAGGAGAAUGAAUUGCAACUUCAGUUCUUUCAUAGCUGAUUCAUACACCAAAAGAGAAUGAAUCUUUUAUAUACAACUGCCUUCUGGUAUUUUGAAAGAAUACAUAUUUUGAAACAGCUGAGAUUGCAGUUACUGCUUAGAUACAAGUGAAAAACAUUCUAGUUACGUGGUAAUGUUUAAUUCAUGGCUGCAUGUAAUAUUAAUGCAAAAUACUUCUCCUUCUCAAUUAGAAAUCCUGUUAUCAGUUUGUGAUGUUUCAGCUAUUUCAGGUGCCAAGAUGUGAGAGAAUGUGUGAUUCUAAGCAGUGAGUCAGCUGCUGUCUACAUCUACAGCUAAGUAGUAUGGCCAGAAUAACACCUCAUUUGACUGGUUUUCCUAAUUAUUUUUGUGCAAAGCCAAUUCCCUUUCAUGCCUAUGGCAAUUCAGGAGAGAUUCUGACAAUAAUUACUGGGCAAAAUCACUAUUGUUUGUAGUUAGAUCUGCAGAUACAGUGAUUCUUUGUCUAGAAUGCAGUAAAUACCUAAUACAUAUUACAUUUCAACAUUGUCUAAUUUUCCAGUAGUUGAUUGUAGUUGGAACUGCUCUUAAGCUUGACUUGUUACACAAUUUUUUCUAUAUGCUCUUAGCUAGCAUAUAUUUUGCUUUAUAGCUAGUUUAAUGCUCAUUCCUAGUACUCAUUUCAGCAAUUUGAAAUCAUAUCUUGAGUUACAAGUCAGUCUUGCUCAGAAUGCUUUUUCAAAUGAAAAGAAAAAGAUCUGUUUUACAAAUGUAACUGUGAAAAAGCAUACAUUUUCCCAGACUUUCUAGAUACCUUUUUUUUGCACAACUUCAGACUAUGGGAAUGCAUUUUGUAAUUAAUAGUUCUAUCCCUAUACCAUCAAAAUUAAUGUAAACUUUGCUACUAAUAUCAACAGAGGUGGAACCAAAGCUGUAGCAAAACACAUACUGCAUCAGUAAUACUGUAGCAUAUAAUGCAGCGUUUGUUUACACACUUUAAUCAAAAAAAGGUAGUACUUUGCAUUCAAAUGCCAUGUAAUCUUAAAUUUAAAGUGCAGCGCAUUUCAAGUUGACUUUUAAUAGAGGCUGUAGCUCCGGUCCUCCCUUUGCCAGUUAAUAUAGGAAGGCAGAGACGUCCUAAGGUCAGAGGGAGCUCCCUUGUCCAUCUCCACAAACAUGCUGCCCCAGUAUGCAGCCAGGAGAGGGGCCUUUCUCCAUGGAAGUACUUUAAGCACAGGUUUUCUUUCACACCUUCAUCCAUGUCUGACAAGCAUUAGUAGCGAUGAGCUUUGUUUUGGAACAGGUGAACAGAAACUUCCUCUCAGGAUGUAUUUUAAACCUGGUUUGAAUUACAAAUGAUUUCUAGGCAGCUGGAUAAAACUCACCCAGAGCUAUGGUGCAUCAGUGCAUGAGGCAUUCAGGCACCACCUGUCCCAGGGUCUUACCCCUACAGCUUCUAGCUAGAAGCUAGAAAAUAAGUUGUUCUCUGUUAGUGUUUUCCUUUCUCAUUUGGUGGAGAUUCUAUAUGAAUUACAGAAUUCUGUAAAAAUACAUAACUAAUGGAUUCAUAUGCUGGGACUUUGUUUGUUUGUUUUUGAGAAUUCAGUGAGACUGUGUCAAAGGUGACUUGUAGGUCAGCCACAGAAACCCAUCUCCAGGAUAUUUCAGGCAAAUUAGAGUACUUGUUUUCAAAGUUCCUGCAUAUUUUAGGGAAAAGGGAAAAGUGCUCUGGUGUAGCAUAAGAAAGAAAUGGAAAUGUUUUCUCUCUAAUUGGAAUUGAUGCUUUCCUUUUAUUCCUAUGAAUAAGAUGUCACUAAACUUUUAAAUAUGCAGUGGAAUACACGGCGGCAGCAGUGUCCCCUUCGACUUUGCAAGCAGUGCAAUGACCCUGGAGGCUGCUGGCUGAGGGGGCCCUGCCAGGGGUGAAGAGCAGAGGCUGGUGGGACAGGGCCCCAUUUCCUUCCUGGCCUGGGGACCCAUUCCAGCCAUACCACGUCACAGCGCUGCAGGUAGCACAGGGCAAAUAACUCUGGGCUCCGAGCAAGAAAGCAAAUAUAAAAAUGACCAUGAAAAUUGCCCAACCAGUUAGAACUGGUUCCAGCCAGGAACACAAGUCCUACCUUGAAAUACUUAAAUCCCAUUUGGACGGCAUAGAUUUACAUUCCAGAUGAAGAAUUAAUGGCUUUCACACAAUAUCCUCAGCAGAGAUGCCCCAGCAUACCAACCCCUGCGUUUUUAGUAGAUGGAAUUUGUAAUUCCUCCAGGAGCUGCAUUCUUUUAAGUGUUACUUCUAUUUUGGGACUGACUACUUGCUUUAUUUAGAAAAAAACCUGUGCUCUUGUCGAGCCAUAGAGACUAUAUGAGUCAUCUAUACAAUAAUACUAAAUCAGCCUUCUCUGUUAUGGUACAGUUCAUCAUAAUCACAAAGGGAUUUAUAGAAAACAAACAUAGCUGACAGAGUCUGCUCUUAAGCUUCCUGUGUUUAAUCCGCGUGCGUUUAGCCAGCUGAACAGUGUAUCGUUGAAAAAUGGAUUGUUAUUAAAAUGUUGGGUGUUGCAGUAGCUCCGAAGUCUCAUUUUUUUGGCUAAUAAAAUGAAUGUCAUUCCUGUGACAAUUUUGGCUGCCUAUGUAUAGUCAUCUGCCCACAUAAUAAUUGUGUGAAUGCUAAUGAAUACCCUGAAACUUUGAUGAAUAAUUUUUUAAGGCUGCCUCAUAGGCAGCAGUGCUUGCUUAUUUAAAUGCCUUAAAUACAUCCUUCACAAAGUAUCACAAAUGGGCUGUAGUCUUAGACAAAACAGACUAUAGAAAACUUAUGGUAUAGAGACACAGUGAAGCAACACGUAACCAGCUUCUUGUACCCUUCAUA
Columba livia (rock pigeon) is the source of this 23061-nucleotide long non-coding RNA. RefSeq lists it as uncharacterized. The record is from RefSeq and is a predicted model, not a curated record. Lineage: Eukaryota; Metazoa; Chordata; Aves; Columbiformes; Columbidae. The transcript has 6 exons.